CGGGAGGCAGCAGUGGGGAAUAAUAGACAAUGGGCGGGAGCCUGAUCCAGCCAUGCCGCGUGCGUGAAGAAGGUCUUCGGAUUGUAAAGCACUUUAAGUUGGGAGGAAGGCUUGUAGAUUAAUACUCUGCAUUUUUGACGACACCGACAGAAUAAGCACCGGCUAACUCUGUGCCAGCAGCCGCGGUAAU
This 190-nucleotide ribosomal RNA is filed under the name uncultured Gammaproteobacteria bacterium. RNAcentral's name for it is "partial 16S ribosomal RNA". It matches the Rfam family "Bacterial small subunit ribosomal RNA", at positions 342 to 524 of the family's 1533-position model. Lineage: Bacteria; Pseudomonadati; Pseudomonadota; Gammaproteobacteria. The record is from RNAcentral.